GCGGAACCACCCAGCCUUUGGUGUCACCCACUUGAAACUCAAAAGAAGCGACAUAGGAGAGGCAGGUGGUGAGAAGGAGCAGAGUUGUGAAGAAAUUCAUCGAGUUGGAAGCCAUUGAUGGUAGCUUUAAGGAGUUGAAACUUGGAGCGAAUAGAACAGUGGAUGACGAUGGAAGCUUAGGGGAGGAGGGAAUUUAUAGUGAAGAAAAUGGCAGUUGAGGGGAGUUUGAAUAUUGCUAGUGAUGGAGAAACAGGGCGGUUGGCGGUUUUGGAAGUGUGCUUGAGUUUGUUCAUCCAUGGCUGAUGGCACGUUCUGGCUACGAUUUCGGGAAAUGGGCUACGAAUCGUUCUGGCUUUUCCUGUUCGGAUCGUGGUAAAGCAGAAGAAAAUCAGAGAUAUCUGGCUUAGGAACCUCCCAAUGGCACUUUGUGAUUUCGAAAUUUUCCUUCUACUACUUGGUCUGCUUCUAUCAUUCUUCUUGAUGAUAUCUUCAUAAACAGCAUCAACAAGACUAGCAAACCGGCGUUUAAAUGUCGGAAACCUUGAUAUCAAUCUGGUACUUACCUUCGAGCCAAAGCCUCAAGUUCGGCACACUUGCAUUUGGAUUCUGGUGGCAGGCUGAUGUUGGAAUCUUUCAUCCUGAUGGGAUCAUCACCCAGCAGAACUAAUCUAGAGAGGUACUCCUCUUCCUGCUCAGAC
Cucurbita maxima (winter squash) is the source of this 698-nucleotide long non-coding RNA. RefSeq lists it as uncharacterized. The transcript has 3 exons. Lineage: Eukaryota; Viridiplantae; Streptophyta; Magnoliopsida; Cucurbitales; Cucurbitaceae. The record is from RefSeq and is a predicted model, not a curated record.